RNAcentral lists this transfer-messenger RNA (349 nucleotides) under Eubacteriales bacterium. It matches the Rfam family "transfer-messenger RNA". Rfam says of the family: Bacterial tmRNA, also known as 10Sa RNA or SsrA, is named for its dual tRNA and mRNA-like properties. The record is from RNAcentral. Lineage: Bacteria; Bacillati; Bacillota; Clostridia; Eubacteriales.
GGGGGUGUAACGGUUUCGACGGGGGUGUGGAGGCAGGAACAGCGGGCGGAUGCGCCCAGCAUCCAUAAAAUGGGCGUCUUUAUAAAUUAAAGAACAACAACGAUAGACUUCUUCUCGCUGCUUAAGCGGUGAGCGUUCCGCCCGGGAGGACCACGGCCCGGGACGGAGCGUCGACGAGUGGUGCACGUGCGUGCGCAAAGCUUUGAGCGCACCAUGAAUCAUGAAGCUACCAAGCCCCCGAGGGUGACGGCUCCCGCUCGGGCGAGGGAACGCAAAGAACCGUCUGCGCCCGGAGAAGUUUCUGUCAAAGCGCUUUCGGACGGGGGUUCAACUCCCCCCACCUCCACCA